UGGCGAGUGGCGAACGGGUGAGUAAUACAUCGGAACGUGUCCAUUAUGGGGGGAUAACACUUCGAAAGAAGUGCUAAUACCGCAUGAGACCUAAGGGAGAAAGCAGGGGACCUUCGGGCCUUGCGCUAUAGGAGCGGCCGAUGACAGAUUAGGUAGUUGGUGGGGUAAAGGCCCACCAAGCCCGCGAUCUGUAGCUGGUCUGAGAGGAUGAUCAGCCACACUGGGACUGAGACACGGCCCAG
Molecule: ribosomal RNA, 242 nt
Filed under: uncultured bacterium
Lineage: Bacteria
Description: partial 16S ribosomal RNA
Rfam family: Bacterial small subunit ribosomal RNA
Source: RNAcentral